This 420-nucleotide long non-coding RNA is filed under the name Hordeum vulgare. Its description in RNAcentral is "long non-coding RNA (HVUL_LNC002688)". The record is from RNAcentral. Lineage: Eukaryota; Viridiplantae; Streptophyta; Magnoliopsida; Poales; Poaceae.
CCUCUCAGCGUUUUGCUUUUUUAGCCGUCCAUUUUGAUGAUCGGGUCAUUUCUAGCCGUCGGAUGUGAUGUAUACCGUCACCUCCAGCACACUUUUUCAUCAUCGGCCCGACUGUCCUAAUGGGCCGCUGCUCCGGUGGCCGAAACCGUGUUAUCUGGUAAAAUGGACCUAUUUUCUCAGCCCAUCCAGGAUAAAAAAAAUCAUAUUUUUCAUACGUUAUCUACAAAAUAUAUGCAACUACACAAAUGAAACAUACAUAAUUAAACAAAUAAAUUUAUAUUACCUGUUUCAACACCAUCCAUUCACGCUAAAUUUAUUCGAACAACAAACCUACAAUACACAAUAAAUUUCAACAAAUUUAACAUACAACUAUUACUCAUUAUUCAAAAAAAUAAAGAAUUAAAGACAACAAAGUUUAAC